RNAcentral lists this ribosomal RNA (253 nucleotides) under uncultured bacterium. RNAcentral's name for it is "partial 16S ribosomal RNA". It matches the Rfam family "Bacterial small subunit ribosomal RNA", at positions 524 to 776 of the family's 1533-position model. The record is from RNAcentral.
UACGUAGGGUGCAGGCGUUAAUCGGAAUUACUGGGCGUAAAGCGUGCGCAGGCGGCUCCUUAAGUCAGAUGUGAAAGCCCCGGGCUUAACCUGGGAACUGCGUUUGAAACUGGGGGGCUUGAGUGAGACAGAGGUGAGCGGAACUGAUGGUGGAGCGGUGAAAUGCGUUGAUAUCAUCAGGAACACCGGUGGCGAAGGCGGCUCACUGGGUCUCAACUGACGCUGAGGUACGAAAGCGUGGGGAGCAAACAGG